Molecule: long non-coding RNA, 354 nt
Filed under: Marmota monax (woodchuck)
Lineage: Eukaryota; Metazoa; Chordata; Mammalia; Rodentia; Sciuridae
Source: RNAcentral
ACUUAUGUUUAUGUUUCCAAUGUCAGGGGCCAGAUGUGACAUCACGAUGACCCAGUCUCCAUCCUCCCUGUCUGCAUCUCCAGGAGACAGAGUCACCAUCACCUGCAGGGCCAGUCAGAAUAUUAACAGUUGGUUAGCUUGGUAUCAACAGAAGCCAGGGCAAGCUCCUAAGCUCCUGAUAUAUAAGGCAUCUAGUUUGGAAUCUGGGGUCCCCUCAAGGUUCAGUGGCAGUGGAUCUGGAACAGAUUACACUUUCACCAUCAGUAGUGUGGAGCCUGAAGAUGUUGCCACUUAUUACUGUCAACAAGAUAGCAGUUACCCUCUCACAGUGACUCAGGCCAUGACAAAAACCUC